RNAcentral lists this ribosomal RNA (513 nucleotides) under uncultured bacterium. Its description in RNAcentral is "partial 16S ribosomal RNA". It matches the Rfam family "Bacterial small subunit ribosomal RNA", at positions 28 to 523 of the family's 1533-position model. The record is from RNAcentral.
GACGAACGCUGGCGGCAUGCCUAAUACAUGCAAGUCGAGCGAACAGAUGAAGUGCUUGCACUUCUGACGUUAGCGGCGAACGGGUGAGUAACACGUAAGGAAUCUACCUAUAAGCGGGGGAUAACAUUCGGAAACGGGUGCUAAUACCGCAUAAUAUCUUCUUCCGCAUGGAAGAAGAUUGAAAGACGGCUCUGCUGUCACUUAUAGAUGACCUUGCGGUGCAUUAGUUAGUUGGUGGGGUAAUGGCCUACCAAGACGAUGAUGCAUAGCCGACCUGGGAGGGGGAGCGGCCACAUUGGGACUGAGACACGGCCCAAACUCCUACGGGAGUGAGCAGUAGGGAAUCUUCCGCAAUGGGCGAAAGCCUGACGGAGCAAUGCCGCGUGAGUGAAGAAGGCCUUCGGGUCGUAAAACUCUGUUAUAAGAGAAGAACAAAUUGUAGAGUGACUGCUACAGUCUUGACGGUAUCUUAUCAGAAAGCCACGGCUAACUACGUGCCAGCAGCCGCCGUAA